This 246-nucleotide ribosomal RNA is filed under the name uncultured bacterium. RNAcentral's name for it is "partial 16S ribosomal RNA". It matches the Rfam family "Bacterial small subunit ribosomal RNA", at positions 109 to 353 of the family's 1533-position model. The record is from RNAcentral.
AGUAACGCGUGGGUAACCUGCCUCAUACACAUGGAUAACAUACCGAAAGGUAUGCUAAUACAAGAUGAUAUAAGAGAUUCGCAUGGAUUUCUUAUCAAAGCUCCGGCGGUAUGAGAUGGACCCGCGUCUGAUUAGCUAGUUGGUAAGGUAAUGGCUUACCAAGGCGACGAUCAGUAGCCGACCUGAGAGGGUGAUCGGCCACAUUGGAACUGAGACACGGUCCAAACUCCUACGGGAGGCAGCAUG